CUCGGUUAACAUCAUACAUCUGGGGUUGAUAAAUCAUUUUAUUCCACUGCAUGUUGAUUUUGAUAGCGAAAUCAACAUCUGAUUGGUUGAAACUAUUCCACGUGACGUCGAACAAAACUUCAUAUUCCCUUCUGAGUAUCAUAUUCCCCUCUGAACGUCGGGAUUGCCUUGAGCGACGUUACCCAAAGUUAAUGUUUUAAAACUUUUUG
RNAcentral lists this long non-coding RNA (209 nucleotides) under Mytilus galloprovincialis (Mediterranean mussel). Lineage: Eukaryota; Metazoa; Mollusca; Bivalvia; Mytilida; Mytilidae. The record is from RNAcentral.